This is a long non-coding RNA of Lates calcarifer (barramundi perch), 1107 nucleotides long. RefSeq lists it as uncharacterized. The record is from RefSeq and is a predicted model, not a curated record. Lineage: Eukaryota; Metazoa; Chordata; Actinopteri; Centropomidae. The transcript has 4 exons.
AAGAGAAUAUUUAUUCAUUGCAAUGAGUCAAAGGGCUACCAUUGUGUAGUGCUUCCUCUUAAAAUCUUCCAUAUGAGUAACAUUAACCAUUGGUGGAUAAUUUAUUAGUGGAUUACAGGGUGUCUGAAGGGAGAGAAAUGUUAUAUGGUCAUAUGGAUAAAAAUAAAAUGUAGAUAAAUACAUAACUGUAAAGAGCUAACCAUGUUAGCAGCAAAGGGAAGCUGUGUAUUUAGCUAUAUUUUCUCAAGGGUGUGGCUACACGUUUUUGUUUGUCGCCAGUGUGUUCACUGGUCAUGUAUAUUCUAAGAUCUAUAUUUUCAUUUAUAUGAAUGACAAAUGUAAACAAAUGUAAAUGUCUAUAGUUUAAUAAAUAGCCUAUUUCUUGCCAUUGACAUUAGCUGUUUACUGUUUGAAAUUAGCUGACCCAGUGUUAACAAGCUUAGUUGCUAAUGACAAUUUAAGGUGACCAUCUUAGCAACAAAUGGAAGCUGUUUAUUUUGCUAUAUUUUGGCAAAAAAAAUUUUUUUUUUGCUUAUGAACUGUGUUGAAGUGGAUUAUGGUGCAGGAGUGCCCUUGGAUUUAUGCUACUUCUCUUUUUCCAUAAUCCAGGCUAACUAGAGCUGUCAUCCACCAGGGAAAAACUGGACCACCUUUUCAGAAUCACAAUUGUUGUUGAUGUCACCUGAAUGUCUCCUAUCCCCAUGUCUCUUUGGACGUCAUAGCGGACCACAAAGUCUCCCAGGAUGCCGUUGGUCGUGAUCUUGGCCUGCUGGACGAUGUUGGGGCUAAAGGUGCAUUUGCAGUGUUGCUCCUCCCGUUGCGGAGUGGCAGCACCUCCAGGUCUGUGAUUAGGGAGUGGUCGACGAUGGUGAUGUCCAGGCUGAGGCGGCUGACCAGCUGCAGCGGGCGCAGGCUGGUUACAUGCUCGUAGCGUCCCAGGCGGCGCUGCAGAAGCUCCUCGUAGGCCCAUUAUCUCUAAGUUCUCCCUGCCGCUCAGUUGAGCUGCAGGACUCUUACAUGGUGAAGUUGGAGACGUAAGCGUCAGCGGGGAUCUGAAACUGGAAGACGCCCUCGGUGGCUGCGGAGUGUCGGUUGAGCAUGGCGCAG